AAUGCACCGAUUAGUAAGUCGCUCUGGAUAAGAGCGUCUGCUAAAUGACGUAAA
Molecule: non-coding RNA, 54 nt
Organism: Salmo salar (Atlantic salmon)
Lineage: Eukaryota; Metazoa; Chordata; Actinopteri; Salmoniformes; Salmonidae
Source: Rfam